CCUACGGGUGGCAGCAGUGGGGAAUAUUGCACAAUGGGGGAAACCCUGAUGCAGCGACGCCGCGUGAGUGAAGAAGUAAUUCGUUAUGUAAAGCUCCAUCAGUAGGGAAGUAAAUGACGGUACCUGAGUAAGAAGCCCCGGCUAACUACGUGCCAGCAGCCGCGGUAAUAUGCAGGGGGCAAGGGUUAUCCGGAUUUACUGGGUGUAAAGGGAGCGUAGACGGGAGUGCAAGUCUGGAGUGAAAGGCGGGGGCUCAACCGCAGGACUGCUAUGGAAACUGUACGGUUGGAGUGCAGGAGAGGUAAGUGGAAUUCCUGGUGUAGCGGUGAAAUGCGUAGAUAUCAGGAAGAACACCAGUGGCGAAGGCAGCUUACUAGACUGUAACUGACGUUGAGGCUCGAAAGCGUGGGGAGCAAACAGGAUUAGAUACCCGGGUAGUC
RNAcentral lists this ribosomal RNA (440 nucleotides) under uncultured bacterium. Its description in RNAcentral is "partial 16S ribosomal RNA". It matches the Rfam family "Bacterial small subunit ribosomal RNA", at positions 338 to 795 of the family's 1533-position model. The record is from RNAcentral.